GUAGAGGCUCAAUGAAGAUGGUGAAUUUAAGGCAAGAACAUCUGGCAUGUAACAACAUCCCUCAUACCUUCUCAACUUUAGGUGUCGUUUUGGAAUCAGAAUGAUCAAUAUAUCUCCAAAUUAAUCCCAGACUGCUACCCAUUAUGUUCAUAAUCACAGCUGACAUUGCAGAGGGCAAAGCAACCAUAGGAGAGGUGAAAUGAGAGGUGGCAAGGACCACACCCAACGAUGAAUUU
This is a long non-coding RNA of Telopea speciosissima, 236 nucleotides long. RefSeq lists it as uncharacterized. NCBI's taxonomy places the organism in Eukaryota, Viridiplantae, Streptophyta, Magnoliopsida, Proteales, Proteaceae. The transcript is spliced from 2 exons. The record is from RefSeq and is a predicted model, not a curated record.